AAUGGUAUGUCGAGCUCAAGCAGCAAUUAAUGGCAGUACAUGUACAUAUGAAGCUAGCGCUAGCUGGCUCACCAAGCGCCCAAAUUAACUAAUCAACCCGUAAAACCCCCCACGCACUGCAUUGCUGACGCAGAUGCAGGCCCCCUUAAUCUACCCCCAUUUCAUUAAUCCUAUCAGUAAUCAUGCUACUGCUAAUGACACAAUCAGAGUAGGGUACCAGUACUAUGUACAGAGACCAAUACAAAGGAACCUAGGAUUAAUUAAUU
RNAcentral lists this long non-coding RNA (266 nucleotides) under Zea mays. RNAcentral describes it as "long non-coding RNA (ZMAY_LNC001137)". The record is from RNAcentral. Lineage: Eukaryota; Viridiplantae; Streptophyta; Magnoliopsida; Poales; Poaceae.